AUUGUCGCUCUAUUCGGGUACCA
RNAcentral lists this non-coding RNA (23 nucleotides) under Arabidopsis thaliana (thale cress). Lineage: Eukaryota; Viridiplantae; Streptophyta; Magnoliopsida; Brassicales; Brassicaceae. The record is from RNAcentral.